Long non-coding RNA from Taeniopygia guttata (zebra finch), 5069 nucleotides. NCBI's taxonomy places the organism in Eukaryota, Metazoa, Chordata, Aves, Passeriformes, Estrildidae. The record is from Ensembl.
UUUUAUGUUAUUUUAUUUUUAUUGGCAGCAGUUAAACCAUAUUAGAAAGGAAUUGUGUUUCUUUCUAAAAUGCAUCAAGCAAUACAAAGGUGUGGAGACCAAAUGAAGGUGUGGGUAGGUAUAGUAUAUGAAGGAUUUGUAUUCCUCUCCCUUCUUAUUCAACCUGUGGAUGAGAAAAUGCAUCCUUUACAUAUUUACAGAGCUUUGCAAAAUGUUACCAGUUACUUCCUCUCUAAUAUCCCUAAUGUAGGGGAAAACACCAUUUGAAAUUGUAGAAAUGUCAGAAACCCUUUGCAAAAGUAAAUCAUAAGCAUACUAUUGCUUCUUCUCCUAUUGUCAAGAAAGGAUUUGCACUGAGAAAUCCUAUUAAUAGAGAUUAUUUGCAUAAAUCUUUUGUGCAGCAGACUCCAAAUAAUUUGUAUUAUAUACUUCUCCUGUGGCAUGUAUGUUAAAAUUGUGUAUUUUUAAUAAUAUAUUCAUGUUGCCACUUAAAAAUCUACACAGCCAUGACUCACCAGUGUCUAGUUUCUCCUGAGGUCAAGUGCAGUCAAGCUUAGAGAUCUGUAAAUGCUCAAAAUUCAUUAAACUCUCACCAGUCCUCAGUAAUUCCCAUUCCAGUAAGUCAUCACAACUGUCCCACAAAAGCGUUCCAGCAUCUCCCAUUCCCUUUACAAUGCUAGGAUGUGAUUUAUUACUCCAGUCUGGGUGCUCUGAGAACUUUUUAAUAGUACUAAUUGCCUUAUUAUCCACUCCAGUGCGAGAGUAAAACCUUUUGACAUUUUCCUUCCUUCCCCGAGGAAAACAAAUCCCAGUUCCUGGGAUAUUGCCUUCUGCUCCCUUUGUGAUUACUGGGGCGAGGAAUUCCUUUAGGCCCUUUGCCUUAUCAGCCUCAUCUGUCACCAACUUCCCAUUCCCAUCUCUCUUGGUGCUCCCUAAUCACUUUGCAUCUUCCAUUAUUCUGUGUUAUUUUUUUCCCUCUGCUUUUUUUUUUUACUUACAGUGUCAAUCUUCAUCACAUAUUCUAUUCCUUAUUUUCUAUCAAUGUAUUUUUUUUCACAUCAGGCUCUGUGAUACUUACCUUGCCCCAGUUUACUAUUUUUAAAUUAGUGUAGGAGUGCCUAUUGAAAAAAAAAAAAAAGAAAUAAAUGUAUUUUUUUCUGGCUGUUCCAUAUUUAAGAAUUUGCUGCAAGAGCUCCAAGAAAACCACACACAUACGUGAAUUCCUGUGUGUCAGCUACCAGAAGAUAUUCAUUUUCUAAAAGCAAAACUAGUAUCACCAAAAAAUAACUUGGCAGGUCUCUAAUCUUUUCAAUGCUGAGAAAAUAAGAAAAUAAAUAAAUUUGCUUUUUUUUUUUUUUUUUUAAGUGAAAACCUGGAAUUAAUUGUGCUGCCCCACCCUCUCAGCAUCUAUUUUUCCUGCUCUGUGUGAACAGUAAGAAGAGAGCAGCCACAUUUCUGUUGCAUGUUCAGAUGUGAAGGAGCACAAAGCUAAACCCAGGAGAAGGAUGGAGGGGCCAAGUGGGAUAAAAACACCUGAUAUUCCCAGGAGGGGAGCACUGGAGCUCUCUGCUCACAGCAGGAUGGUUGGGCAGCAGCCAGGGCUGUGUCAGGUCAGUUCUGUUCAGCCAAAUCCUGGAAAUUCCUGAGGAGGGAGCACCCAAAGCCUCCCUGAAUGAGCUGUCCUGCUGCUGCACGACCCUCCUGCUGGAACAUCUUCUCCUCAUGUCCAGUGUGACCUUCCCAAGCCACAGCUCUUGUGGCUGCUCCUUGUUGGGAAGGGUUUGGCUCCACCACCUUUGUGACUCCCCUUCAGGCAGCUGCUGCUGCCUCAGAUUCACCCUCAGCCUUCCCCAGACCUGAGGGGUCUAAACCUGAUGCUUUAGACCCCUCAGCAGCAUAAGUGUUUUUCUCUGGAUCCUUUAUUCUUUCUCAGCAUCUCUCUUGAACUGGAGGGCCCAAAAGCAGUCAUGGUAUUCCAGGUGAGGUCCCCCAGGGCCGAGGAUGGACAGGCAGGUGACAAAUUUCCAUAACUGCUGACCAUGCUCCUACUGAGGCACCUCAGCCUGUGUUUUCUGCCAUAUGCAGUGACUCCAGAGUUCCUUCGAAUUCCAGGUCCACCAUAACCUCCAGGCCUUCCCCAGCAGAGCUGCUACUCCUGCAGCCUCUGCCUAUGGGGUUCAAAAGGCCAAGGAAAAAUUGGGAUUGUUCAGCUUGGAAGAGAGAAGGCUUUGGGAUGACCUAAUUGUGGCCUCCCAGUACCUGAAGGAGGUCAAUGAAAAGUCUGAGGUUGUUUGCAGGGACAUGGAGUAGCAGGACAAGGGGGAAUGGCUUCAAACAGGUUUAGAUCAGAUGUUAGGAGGAUUCUUCCCUGUGAGGGUGAUGAGGCCCUGGCACAGGCUGCCCAGAGAAGUUGUGGAUGUCUCAACCCUGGAAGUGUCCAAGGCCAGGCUGGAUGGAGCUCUGAGCAGCCUGGCCUGGUGGAAGGUGUCCCUGCCCAGGGCAGGAGGUUGGAAUGAGAUGAUCUUUAAGAUCCCCUCCACCCCAAACCAUUCAGUGAGUCUGUGAUUCCCAGUAAGGCAGACUUGCCACAGAACAUGGACAUAACAGGAUUCAGGGCACCCAGCUGAACACCCACGUUCUGACAGACAAAAUCCUCCUCUUGUGCCUUACCCUGAACUCCCCCACCGUGAGCACUCCUGGUUUCCUGAUCCCAAGGGUCUCAAAGCCUAACCAGAGAUUCCUGUAAUAACAAAAACAGGAAAGAGCUGUGCAUCCCUUCCCUGGUUUGUUCUGUCUUGGCUUUCACAUACAAACUGGCGAGUCUCUGAAGAACGUGCUUGGCUAUACUUGCACAUGCAGCCUCAAAACAAAUCUAAAGAAGCCAGCAUGCAAUUCAGCUUUGAAAUUUAGUUUGAAAAUUAGAUCUCAUAUGUCAUAUAUUUAUAUUCCAUAUAAAUAGAAAAAAUAUUAUGUUGCAUAAAAUCAUUUUCUUUAUGUUUUUUAACAAUCAUAAACUGUUAUAAAGAGCAUUUAGAAUACAGGCUCCCUGAUUGCUGUUCAUUUUCCUUCCUUCUCUUUAUUGGCCCAAGUGGAUUUUGAAAUAAUAUUUGGCAACUCUUGAUUUUCAAACAUUCUUUUCACACAUCUGUAGGGCUUUCUUAUGUUUACAGAUUAAUUCAGAUGUAUUUGGCUUAGAUUUCUGUCUCAGAAACAUAGAGGCUUAUCAAGGCAUUUGAUUGCCUCACUGGAGAAGAUUUGAGAUCUGUAAACAAAAAUCUGAAAUUUGGCUGCAGUAUGAUUUCGGUGUCUGUUAAACACACAAAAAACCAGAAUAACCUCUACUUCAUCAUUAAUACUUUAAGAAAGUAAGAUGUUAAAUUACAAAUCAUGCUAGAUAUAUUUGUCCUAAUUCUCCAGGUCUCAUGAAUGUCUAUGGCAAGUGUUUGAGCGCCUCUUGUUGUGACAAAAGAUCAAAUUGUCUAUGUUAAAUGGGAAUAAUAGAGUUCAAUACUCAAUUCUCUUUGUGGAUUAACAUUUUCUAUUAAGUAUUUUUUUAAAAUUUACAGUCCACAUGUGCAGAAAUGGGUUUUUUAACAGAUUAGGGCUAUGAGGACUUGAUUUUGUGUAGUUUGAUGAUGAAAUCAAAAAGCUCUUAUCAAGGACUGAAUGUAUAACAAUAUAUUCCAGUUCCUAGGUAAGUAUCCUACCAAAUGGGCAGCCAAUUGUCCUGGGAGUAACCUGCUUUCUUUUCUUCCUGUUGGAGCAUUCCCACUUCAAGCAGCUCAUUCAACUGUUUACAAAUGAUUUCAGGUAAACUUUGAGGUGACCAGACCCAAGUUCCUGUCCAUGCUCUAUGAACACUGAGAUCCAUCCACACCCCAGAAGGUGUCAGCAACAGAGACCAAGGUUAUCUCACAAAACACCUUAUGGUUUGGAAGGUAGGGCACUGGUCUAGGAAGGAGAGUUUUCCAGGAAAAGGUAAGGGAAUGUGGCCUCCAGCUUCCCUGAGCUAAGACAGUGGCAUUACUGCUGGGAAGUCCCAUAACUGAGCUGACUUGUGGGAUUUUAUCCCAACUUCCCCUCAUUUUGAAGCCCUGAAUUUCCUCUUUGUCACAGCUCAGUGUAUGAAGUGGUGCUCUGUUCCUGGGAGCUGUGGAAAAAACAGAAGGCAGGCAAAACUACAGCAGGGAGGCAGGAACACAGACUGCUCUGAUGAACUGUGGAAAGGGGAGAGGGUGUAGAGUGUGGAGUCUCUGAGUGUAGACUCCAUGAACUACACAAAUUUGUACCACUGCACUGGCUUACCCAAGCUAUGAGUUGGAGUCAGCCUAGGUCCAGCAAAACUAGGUCCAAGCCUGGCACCAGUUGUGCUGGAGUUUGUUGUGCUGAGUCCAGCCCAGGCUGUGAGCACAAAACCCCAUAUUACACCUCUGUGCCACGUCCCACAGCACUCCAACAUUUAGAUGCCUCCAAGCUUGAGUGUGGGACCAAAUAUAACCAAGGGUUCAGGCUGUGCUGUAUGAGCGUCAGAUGUUUUGUGCACACUCACUCCACAAUUAUCCUAAUUAAAAUUGGCUUCUGGUCUUACAGGUCCUGAUGAAUGCCAGCUGACCCACUUCCCAAACUGCCCCAAGAUAAGAAACAGCAGCUCUCCCACAUGUCCCAGUACUGAGACAUCACCAUGGUGCAUCAGACCUGCUUCCCAACCCAACAAGGGAGGAUGGCACCUCCUUCCCCUGGUACAUUUGACUCUUGUUCUCCCCCACCAUCCACCCACCCCAUGCACAGUCCUAGGGUGAAUUAAACUUUUUUUUCCUUUUUUUUUUUGUGCCCAAUCUCCCUUCCAAAAUGUCACGUUGUUCUAGUUUGAGUGAACAUUAUCUUUUUCCGCUAUUACCUACUGACCCCAGGGAGGUGCAUACCAUAAAAAUUUGAUUUUUAAAGUAAUUCUUUGAGAUUUCCAACAAUUUUCAAAAGGUUAGGGGGAGGUAUUACUGAUUCUUUUUCACAUUACUGAAUUCACUGUAAUUUAUGGAGUCUGCAUAGGCAGAAUUACUGAAUUACAAUCC